ACUCAAAUGAAUUGACGGGGACCCACACAAGCGGUGGAGCAUGGGGUUUAAUUCGAUGACAAGCGAAGCACCUCACCCAGACUUGACAUCCUGAGAAUCCUGCAGAAAUGCGGGAGUGCCGCAAGGAACUCAGAGACAGGCGCUGCACGGUCGUCGUCAGCUCGUGCCUUGAGGUGUACUGUUCAGUCAGCCAACGAGCGCAACCCUCAUCCUAUGUUGUUAUUUCAUAGGAGACUGCCGCCUCCAAGGCGGAGGAAGGUGAGGAUGACGUCAGAUCAGCGUGGCCUUUAUGUCUGGGGCAACACCCGUGCUACAAUGGUCGGUACAAACGGCAGCGAAACCGCGAGGUGAAGCAAAUCCGAUAAAACCGAUCUCAGUCCGGAUUGAAGUCUGCAACUCGACUUCAUGAAGUUGGAAUCGCUAGUAACCGUGAAUCAGCUACGUCACGGUGAAUAUGUUCCUGGGUCUUGUACACACCGCCCGU
RNAcentral lists this ribosomal RNA (484 nucleotides) under uncultured bacterium. RNAcentral's name for it is "partial 16S ribosomal RNA". It matches the Rfam family "Bacterial small subunit ribosomal RNA", at positions 899 to 1397 of the family's 1533-position model. The record is from RNAcentral.